This 506-nucleotide ribosomal RNA is filed under the name uncultured bacterium. RNAcentral's name for it is "partial 16S ribosomal RNA". It matches the Rfam family "Bacterial small subunit ribosomal RNA", at positions 29 to 523 of the family's 1533-position model. The record is from RNAcentral.
AUUGAACGCUGGCGGCAGGCCUAACACACGCAAGUCGGACGGUAGCACAGGGGAGCUUGCUCCUCGGGUGACGAGUGGCGGACGGGUGAGUAAUGUCUGGGGAUCUGCCCGAUAGAGGGGGAUAACCACUGGAAACGGUGGCUAAUACCGCAUAAUGUCGCAAGACCAAAGAGGGGGACCUUCGGGCCUCCCACUAUCGGAUGAACCCAGAUGGGAUUAGCUAGUAGGCGGGGUAACGGCCCACCUAGGCGACGAUCCCUAGCUGGUCUGAGAGGAUGACCAGCCACACUGGAACUGAGACACGGUCCAGACUCCUACGGGAGGCAGCAGUGGGGAAUAUUGCACAAUGGGCGCAAGCCUGAUGCAGCCAUGCCGCGUGUAUGAAGAAGGCCUUCGGGUUGUAAAGUACUUUCAGCGGGGAGGAAGGCGAUGUGGUUAAUAACCGCGUCGAUUGACGUUACCCGCAGAAGAAGCACCGGCUAACUCCGUGCCAGCAGCCGCCGUAA